AUACGUAUCAGUUGCGACUACUAGUGACAGCUAGAAAAGUUCAACGAUGGUGGGAAUUGGUAAAAUAAGCAGAAGAGAAUGUCAUUUUGUCAUCGUUAUUUAUCGUAGUUUAAUAUCAUUUAGUGUAUAAGUGAUAUAUAGUGUAUAGUGAUAUAUUUGAUCAUAAUUUUAUCAAAAAAUAUGAUUGAUUCAUUUCUAUUCUAAUAAAUUGAUCAGUGAAUCUAGUGUAUAUUAGAAUAUAGCAAUAAAUCUUGUUAAGGCUUACUAGUUCGUAAUAAAAGGCAAUGAAUAUGGAUGAUGAAGAAUUAAAUAAACUUGCAGUUGAAGCUCUACUUGAAGAAGCAAAACUCGGUGCACAAAGAGCUGAAAUAAUGGGACCUACUGGAUGGGUAAAGCCUAGAGAGACCGUCAAUAAAAGAUUUCUUCAUUCUACACUACGUAAUGUUCUUAUUUCC
Molecule: long non-coding RNA, 455 nt
Organism: Vespa velutina
Lineage: Eukaryota; Metazoa; Arthropoda; Insecta; Hymenoptera; Vespidae
Exons: 3
Source: RefSeq, a predicted model, not a curated record